RNAcentral lists this long non-coding RNA (1110 nucleotides) under Sus scrofa (pig). RNAcentral describes it as "lncRNA (ENSSSCG00045009399.1)". Lineage: Eukaryota; Metazoa; Chordata; Mammalia; Artiodactyla; Suidae. The record is from RNAcentral.
AAUUUUUUGGCGUAAACACUAUUUUUUUUUUUCUUUUUUGGUCUUUUUGCCUUUUCUAGGGCCGCUCCCGCCGCAUAUGGAGGUUCCCAGGCUAGGGGUCGAAUCGCAGCUGUAGCCACCGGCCUACGCCACAGCCACAGCAAUGGUGGAUCCAAGCCGCAUCUGCAACCUACACCACAGCUCACGGCAACGUCGGAUCCCUAACCCACUGAGCAAGGCCAGGGAUCGAACCCCCAACCUCAUGGUUCCUAGUUGGGUUCGUUAACCACUGCGCCACGACGGGAACUGCUGGAGUCAACACUGCUAAAACUCGCUUGGGGAAGAAAAAGAAGUGUGAGGCUCAAAUGCUUGUCUCAACAGAAUCAACUUCUACAGUAAAAUGCACAUUUCCAAAGGGAAAUACCUGAGCCAAACUAAACUGACAAGGCGUGUUUGCGUAAAUGUAAAAGGAACAUUUUCAUGGUCUAUUUUUAACUUUUGAUGCACAAUCAACUGCUAAAGGCUAUUUUGGGUGGUCGGAACUGUGGCUUUGAAGACCCUGUAUUUUGCUUUAUCAGCCAGAUCUGAAAAGAGAAGCUGCGUUAUCGUCAGAUGCUGGAUGAAUGGGUUUUGCUCAUUGAUGAGAUUAUGCUAUGGUGAUUUUACAAGCAUAAGUGGAAGGAGGCCAGGGACACAGGCUGCUGAAGUGGCCUAGAAAAGUCAGGAAGCAGUCGUGCAGAUUGUGGGGAAGCCCAGGACGAGAAGACUGUCUGGCCUCGGGGCUGGAACUCAGAAAAUGUCCAGCGCUCAUAGCCUUCAGAAAGACAGGUGAUAGGAAGCCCUGGAGUUCAAGGCGAAGCUGCUCGGAGGGGGAAGGGCAGAAAGAAAGUCACCAGAAGGCAGUCAAAAGGUCAAAAGUGGUGGUGUCUUCACAGCCUUUCAGAGUCAAAAGGGUCGAAGAUGGAACGCAGGUAUUCACGCAACAAAGAAGGACUGAGGCUUGUCAACCUCUCCGGCAGAACCUCAUCGACGUAUUAGGCACCCAUUCGCACUGGGCACUGGGGACAAAUCGGUGACAAGGGACGUUAUCAUGGAGCGUCCAAGUCUCGUGGGAGAGGCAAAUCAUCAGAU